Molecule: long non-coding RNA, 431 nt
Filed under: Equus caballus (horse)
Lineage: Eukaryota; Metazoa; Chordata; Mammalia; Perissodactyla; Equidae
Description: lncRNA (ENSECAG00000055401.1)
Source: RNAcentral
GAAGUUCCCUCCCAGUGCCUACCGAGGCAGGGUGGGGCGGUUCUGUGGCAUGGAAAGAACCUGGAAAACCACAUAGUCCCAGCAUAAACGGCUGCAUAGGGACGUCCUUCUCGGAGGAGUCCCCGAAAUAAGAUGGGCUAUCCUCGCUCUAGAUCGGAGCGGGCGAGUUCCUCCCGCUGCCCCGCCACUGCGGUUUGCGGAGGUCUAGGGAGUUUCAUCCCGUCCUCCGUCCUCAGCCUUCACCUUGGAAAACAGUUUCCCAAGCGUCCACAUUAAAAGUGCGCGACUUCUCGAGGCCUGCAGAAGGAGCUCCUGCAGCCCGGCAUUCCUCGGAUUCCAGCGCUGUGACGUCCCCAAGGCCGGCGCGCCUCCCGCCGGGGACCUCCGGCUCCACGCGCAGCCGCUCCCCCCGCCCCGGCGCGCUCCCGGCC